Molecule: ribosomal RNA, 69 nt
Filed under: Lotharella oceanica
Lineage: Eukaryota; Cercozoa; Chlorarachniophyceae
Description: partial Trypanosomatid mitochondrial large subunit ribosomal RNA
Source: RNAcentral
CAAAAAAAAUAAAGUAAUUAAUUUAAUUCAAUAAAUAAUUAAAUAAAUGAAUGAAUAAAAAGCGGGGAG